UACGUAGGUGGCAAGCGUUACUCGGAAUCACUAGGCGUAAAGCGCAGGUAGGCGGUUUGAUAAGUCUGUUGUGAAAGCUCCCGGCUCAACUGGGAGAGGUCAACGGAAACUGUCAGGCUAGAGUGUGGUAGAGGUAGCUGGAAUUCCCGGUGUAGCGGUGAAAUGCGUAGAUAUCGGGUGGAACACCAGUGGCGAAGGCGGUGUUCUGGGCCGGAACUGACGCUGAGGAGCGAAAGCGUGGGUAGCAAACAGG
Molecule: ribosomal RNA, 253 nt
Filed under: uncultured bacterium
Lineage: Bacteria
Description: partial 16S ribosomal RNA
Rfam family: Bacterial small subunit ribosomal RNA
Source: RNAcentral